This 395-nucleotide unclassified non-coding RNA is filed under the name soil metagenome. Its description in RNAcentral is "partial contains 5.8S ribosomal RNA, internal transcribed spacer 2, and large subunit ribosomal RNA". The stretch from base 1 to 121 matches the Rfam family "5.8S ribosomal RNA", at positions 35 to 154 of the family's 154-position model. The record is from RNAcentral.
GAUGAAGAACGCAGCGGACGUGCGAAACGUAAUGUGAAUUGCAGAAUUCAGUGAAUCAUCGAAUCUUUGAACGCAUCUUGCGCUCCUUGGUAUUCCGAGGAGCAUGCCUGUUUGAGUGUCGUGAAUACUCUCAACUUCAACCCUUUUUUCGGAAAGGGAGGAAGGUUGGACUUGGGUGUUUGUUGAAGUGCGAGCUUCGACUCAUCCUAAAUGCAUUAGCGAUCUGCCUCGAUCACACACAAUGUGAUAAUUAAAACUAAAGCAUUGUUUAAUGAUCAAGUCGAGACUGCUUCUAACUGUCGCAAGACAAUAACGUGCAUACAUUUGUGCAUGUCAUUUGACCUCAAAUCAGGUAGGACUACCCGCUGAACUUAAGCAUAUCAAUAAGCGGAGGA